AACGAACGCUGGCGGCAUGCCUAACACAUGCAAGUCGAACGAGACCUUCGGGUCUAGUUGCGCACGGGUGCGUAACGCGUGGGAACCUGCCCUUAGGUUCGGAAUAACUCCCCGAAAGGGGUGCUAAUACCGGAUAAUGUCUUCGGACCAAAGAUUUAUCGCCUUUGGAUGGGCCCGCGUUGGAUUAGCUAGUUGGUAGGGUAAAAGCCUACCAAGGCGACGAUCCAUAGCUGGUCUGAGAGGAUGAUCAGCCACACUGGGACUGAGACACGGCCCAGACUCCUACGGGAGGCAGCAGUGGGGAAUAUUGGACAAUGGGCGAAAGCCUGAUCCAGCAAUGCCGCGGGAGUGAUGAAGGCCUUAGGGUUGUAAAGCUCUUUUACCCGGGAUGAUAAUGACAGUACCGGGAGAAUAAGCUCCGGCUAACUCCGUG
Molecule: ribosomal RNA, 433 nt
Filed under: uncultured bacterium
Lineage: Bacteria
Description: partial 16S ribosomal RNA
Rfam family: Bacterial small subunit ribosomal RNA
Source: RNAcentral